UUUGCUUCUCAGCCUUUUGGCUCAGAUCAAGUAUAGUAUCUGUGCUUAUAGUAUAAUAUCUGAUGCAUCCUCUUUCCGAGGACAUUCUAUUAAAUGGAUUUUUGGAGCUGGGAGAUGGAACAGGAGCUUGCUCCGUCCUUUCCAUGCAUCCACCAAGUACUGUAGUACUUCUGGGAAUGGUGCAUUAACA
Molecule: small nuclear RNA, 190 nt
Organism: Pteronotus mesoamericanus
Lineage: Eukaryota; Metazoa; Chordata; Mammalia; Chiroptera; Mormoopidae
Product: U2 spliceosomal RNA
Exons: 1
Source: RefSeq, a predicted model, not a curated record